RNA transcript from Lotus japonicus, 2090 nucleotides. It is a transcript of the gene named serpin-ZX-like, with no coding region annotated. NCBI's taxonomy places the organism in Eukaryota, Viridiplantae, Streptophyta, Magnoliopsida, Fabales, Fabaceae. The transcript has 6 exons. The record is from RefSeq and is a predicted model, not a curated record.
AAAGACCCAACACUACACGCUGAAGCAUCUAAAUAAAAUUAGGGCUUGUGAUAUCCUUCGCGGAAAGUCGAUCUGGAUCGAAAACAAUGGAGAUCCAAAAAUCAAAAUCAACGAGGUGCCAAUCAGACGUUGCUCUGAGCUUCACAAAACAUUUAUUCUCAAAAGAAGAUUAUCAAGAGAAGAAUCUCAUCUUUUCACCCUUGUCUCUCUACGCUGCUCUUAGCGUUAUGGCCGCCGGUUCAGAAGGCCGCACACUCGACGAGCUUCUUUCCUUCCUCCGAUUUGACUCUAUCGAUCAUCUCAACACCUACUUCUCUCAAGGGAUUUCCCCUGUGUUCUCCGACGAGGAUCCUGCUUCUUCUCCUUCACAGCAUCAUCUGUCUUUUACCAAUGGAAUGUUUAUUGAUACAACGGUUUCCCUUUCCUAUCCUUUUAGAAGACUUCUGUCCACUCAUUACAAUGCCAGUCUAGCUUCACUUGAUUUUAAUCUCCGGGGUGAUAGUGUGCUCCAUGAUGUGAAUUCAUUGAUUGAACAAGAGAGUAAUGGCCUUAUUACACAGCUUCUUCCACCGGGGACAGUAACCAACUUAACCAAGCUUAUCUUUGCAAAUGCACUGCGCUUCCAGGGUAUGUGGAAACACACGCUUGAUGGUCUAACACAUGUAUCAUCAUUUAACCUCCUUAGUGGCACCUCUGUCAAGGUUCCCUACAUGACUACCUUUAAGAAAACACAGUAUGUUAGAGCUUUUGAUGGUUUCAAAAUUCUCCGUCUUCCUUAUAAACAAGGAAGAGAUAGACAACGCCGCUUCUCCAUGUGCAUUUUCCUUCCAGAUGCACAAGAUGGACUUUCAGCUUUAAUUCAAAAGUUGUCUUCAGAACCUGGUUUCUUGAAAGGCAAGCUUCCUCACCGAAAAGUGCGAGUACGUCCAUUCCGGGUUCCAAAAUUCAAUAUUUCUUUUACAUUUGAAGCUUCUAACGUGCUCAAGGAGGUUGGAGUGGUUUCCCCUUUCUCUCCAAUGGAUGCGCAUUUUACAAAAAUGGUGAAUGUGAAUUCUCCUUCGGAUAAUUUAUUCGUGCAAAGCAUAUUUCACAAAGCUUUCAUUGAAGUGAAUGAAAAAGGCACUAAAGCAACCGCAGCCACUUGGUCUGCGCUGGCACGACAAUGUGCUCGAGAUCAUCAUCCAUCUAUAGACUUUAUAGCUGACCACCCUUUCCUCUUCUUGAUCAGAGAAGAUUUCACCGGAACAAUCCUCUUCGUUGGGCAGGUGCUCAAUCCUCUUGAUGGAUUACCUGUCAAGAGAACUCGCCGUUUGUGCAUCAGCCCAGUAGCAGCUAGGCCGGUCAAGGAUCGGCGUGUGACGCCUCUCUCCAAGGAUGAAAAUUCGAUGUUUUUAGGCCUUUCUAGGGAGUACCAACCAUCUCCAAGGUUACCUUCAUCCGCGCUCUUCCCUGAAAUUUCCCUUGUUGAUUGCAGGUUUGAUGUUUGUGGCUGUGAAGGUUGGAAGGCCUGAAGCCACCCAUGGAAGAGAGGGGGUUGAGAUGUGUUACCAUCAUCACUGUAGCUGUAUGGAGGAGGGAAGAACUGCUCAACUGCAUAUAGGAGAAUAUUGCUCCAACAAGCCCUGCAGGAAACAUAGAGGAAUGAUCUCCAAGUUGGAUGAAAACAAACCUAGAAGGUCACCAGCAAACACAUCUUGCAAAUGAUGCCAAUAGUCAUCAACUCUACUGAUUCCAACUAGACAAGCAACAAGUAGAGAAAGAAACAUAAUGCAUACUUUUGCCACGUGCCCUCGGCCUCUGCGACCAAAGCGUCAAUCUUCCCACAUAGCUAGGUACAAAGAGAGGAAACCUAGACCUGAAAACGACACUGCAGAACAAAAUUGAUUAGAUAAAGGUGGAUACAGAUACAAUUUUCUGAACAAAAUAUGAUAUUUCGUCUCCUUAUAAUAUCUAAUGUUAGUUUUUUCUUAAUUUUUUCUUGUCUCUGCAUUUGCUUUUUCCUCUGCACUCUAAUAUGUGUUAGCCUUUCACCUCUCAAUCAAUACGUACGCAUAACUGUUGUUUAGGACGUUCAUCUACUUAAUCAUAGU